AGAGUUUGAUCCUGGCUCAGGACGAACGCUGGCGGCGCGCCUAACACAUGCAAGUCGAACGAGCGAGAGAGAGCUUGCUUUCUCGAGCGAGUGGCGAACGGGUGAGUAACGCGUGAGGAACCUGCCUCAAAGAGGGGGACAACAGUUGGAAACGACUGCUAAUACCGCAUAAGCCCACAGGUCGGCAUCGACCAGAGGGAAAAGGAGCAAUCCGCUUUGAGAUGGCCUCGCGUCCGAUUAGCUGGUUGGUGAGGUAAUGGCCCACCAAGGCGACGAUCGGUAGCCGGACUGAGAGGUUGAACGGCCACAUUGGGACUGAGACACGGCCCAGACUCCUACGGGAGGCAGCAGUGGGGAAUAUUGCACAAUGGGGGAAACCCUGAUGCAGCGACGCCGCGUGGAGGAAGAAGGUCUUCGGAUUGUAAACUCCUGUUGUUGAGGAAGAUAAUGACGGUACUCAACAAGGAAGUGACGGCUAACUACGUGCCAGCAGCCGCGGUAAAACGUAGGUCACAAGCGUUGUCCGGAAUUACUGGGUGUAAAGGGAGCGCAGGCGGGAAGACAAGUUGGAAGUGAAAUCUAUGGGCUCAACCCAUAAACUGCUUUCAAAACUGUNUUUCUUGAGUAGUGCAGAGUAGGCGGAAUUCCCGGUGUAGCGGUGGAAUGCGUAGAUAUCGGGAGGAACACCAGUGGCGAAGGCGGCCUACUGGGCACCAACUGACGCUGAGGCUCGAAAGUGUGGGUAGCAAACAGGAUUAGAUACCCUGGUAGUCCACACCGUAAACGAUGAUUACUAGGUGUUGGAGGAUUGACCCCUUCAGUGCCGCAGUUAACACAAUAAGUAAUCCACCUGGGGAGUGCGACCGCAAGGUUGAAACUCAAAGGAAUUGACGGGGGCCCGCACAAGCAGUGGAGUAUGUGGUUUAAUUCGACGGAACGCGAAGAACCUUACCAAGUCUUGACAUCCCUUGACGAACAUAGAAAUAUGUUUUCUCUUCGGAGCAAGGAGACAGGUGGUGCAUGGUUGUCGUCAGCUCGUGUCGUGAGAUGUUGGGUUAAGUCCCGCAACGAGCGCAACCCUUACUGUCAGUUACUACGCAAGAGGACUCUGGCAGGACUGCCGUUGGCAAAACGGAGGAAGGUGGGGAUGACGUCAAAUCAUCAUGCCCUUUAUGACUUGGGCUACACACGUACUACAAUGGCGUUAAACAAAGAGAAGCAAGACCGCGAGGUGGAGCAAAACUCAGAAACAACGUCCCAGUUCGGACUGCAGGCUGCAACUCGCCUGCACGAAGUCGGAAUUGCUAGUAAUCGUGGAUCAGCAUGCCACGGUGAAUACGUUCCCGGGCCCUUGUACACACCGCCCGUC
This 1369-nucleotide ribosomal RNA is filed under the name uncultured bacterium. RNAcentral describes it as "bacterial SSU rRNA". It matches the Rfam family "Bacterial small subunit ribosomal RNA". The record is from RNAcentral.